UGCGCCCCGUCCCCUUUCUCUUUCAGUGACUAUCGAGAAGGGUGAGAGAUGGCAGCGCGGAAACAGCGAGCAGGCGGCGGUUGGGAAUGGCGAGCGCAGCCGCCUCCGUUCCCCUCUCCCAUAUCUCUGCAAUGAAGCCCUAUCUCCGUGUUGUCUCGGCACUGUAUCACCGAAUCCGGUGAACAAGACGACGACUCAGAAAGGACUAUAGCCUGGGUAUAGUUGACAUAAAGAAUCUUAGAAAGAAGGCAUCGACACAGCAUUGAGGAAAUCAAACUUCUUAAGGAGCUGAGAGAGCGAUCUGAUGUGGUUUAUACCAUCUGAUUAUGCUAUCUGUUCUUUAUGUGCUUUCACGCUUGGGAAAGCAGGAGAGAGAGGUGGUGCUGCCUACAAUGAGGCUUAUAAUGUUGUGGCAGCAGCCCUGCUUUUACGGUCUGAACAAAAGAUCAAGAUGCAACAGAUGUGUGAUAUUUUAUUGCGUAUAUGUCGCUUUUCAGGUAAAAAAAGAUAUAUGCCAUGAUCACUAUUAUAGUUGGUUAUUUUGAGCUAUAGCAUGAGCUUGAUUACUCAAGGCCUAGAAUUGUUAUGU
Long non-coding RNA from Lolium rigidum, 589 nucleotides. RefSeq lists it as uncharacterized. NCBI's taxonomy places the organism in Eukaryota, Viridiplantae, Streptophyta, Magnoliopsida, Poales, Poaceae. The record is from RefSeq and is a predicted model, not a curated record. The transcript has 3 exons.